Long non-coding RNA from Zonotrichia leucophrys gambelii, 1222 nucleotides. RefSeq lists it as uncharacterized. The transcript has 2 exons. The record is from RefSeq and is a predicted model, not a curated record. NCBI's taxonomy places the organism in Eukaryota, Metazoa, Chordata, Aves, Passeriformes, Passerellidae.
UCUCCAGACCACUAACUAUAGAAUAGAGAGGGGAGUUUCCAAGUGAGGUCAUAUUAGAACAACUGGUCAGUAAAAGUCUCUGUGGUGUCUGGAAAGUCCUAUAGUUAGUGGCAGGCAAGCUUAUUUGUGCACCUGAGAUGUCCAGCACAGCAGCUGGACAAAGUGCUCCAUCAUCCCUUCUCCUCCUGUGGCAAGCUGCAGGAGUGCCCUGCCUUGCCAGGAGCGAUCGGCCUGGACAAUGCAAUACACGACGUGAGAAACAAUGGAGCAGUUCAAAGAGCUCGCUCUGGACAGGCUGCUCGCAGCAGGAGAUGUGCCUAGCAUGCAUAAAUGAACUGCAGUCUAUGAGGGCUGGCUAAUUGCACUAGGUAUAUUUUUGUAGUUGAAGGAAAUCCAGCUAGAGACCAGCCGUAAGAGAGGAGGUUAGUGGAAAUUCCUUUAGACCUUGAGAGGAAGAGUUUGAUCACUGAAGCAGAAUGCAUGUCUGCGUGAAUUCCCUCAUUGGGAAAGACUGGCACUUUUUCAGAAGAACAUCCAUUCCCUGUGGGUAGAGAUUUUCUCGUGUCUUUGGCAGGUACUAAGAGCUGAAUUUACAAUGGGGAGUUCCAUUUCAAUUUUGUUUCAUGCAGUCUUUAUUUUCUUGGGAGACAUUACUCAGAAUGAAAUUUUCCCAUGCUGAGAGCUUAGUAUCACUUCCUCCCUGUGCCCACUUCAUGUUCCAUAAAAAAUGCCUGCAUCUAAGCAAUUUUUUUUUUUUCUCCGGAGCCAUGGAUUGUGACAGAAUGGGCAGGCACAGAUGUUCUCCUGUGAAGGAAGUGACAUUAUUGUUCUUGUUAUUAGUGCUUAGUACUGGAGAAAAAAAAUCCAGAUUCUUACACCAUCCUUUUCACCAACAAAUCUCAGAGCUCUCCUGUUUUACAGGUGACAAGGAAUGAUGGCGAGUCCUGCUGAAAAUAAUUUGCCCUCCUGGACAGCUCCAGAACCAUUGGAAUCUUUGAAAAUCUGGUCCAUGCUGCUUCAGGCUUACUCCUGGAACAGAGAGCAGUUAUACCGAGGGCGCAUCCACUGCAGUACCUCAGGUGGCAAGGGAUGGGGAUUUAUGUCCUGCAAACUGGUUCUAAAAAUCAAGCAUGUUUUCACCACCUUUCAGAGAAAUGUAGCAAAUACUUGGAGAGCUGGUCCUUCUGUUGCUGCAGAUAUAAUAAAAUCAUUACUUUGUUGA